UACGAAGGGGGCUAGCGUUGCUCGGAAUUACUGGGCGUAAAGGGCGCGUAGGCGGAUAUCUAAGUUGGGGGUGAAAUCCCGGGGCUCAACCUCGGAAUUGCCUUCAAAACUGGAUAUCUUGAGUUCGGGAGAGGUGAGUGGAACUCCGAGUGUAGAGGUGAAAUUCGUAGAUAUUCGGAAGAACACCAGUGGCGAAGGCGACUCACUGGCCCGAUACUGACGCUGAGGCGCGAAAGCGUGGGUAGCAAACAGG
This 253-nucleotide ribosomal RNA is filed under the name uncultured bacterium. Its description in RNAcentral is "partial 16S ribosomal RNA". It matches the Rfam family "Bacterial small subunit ribosomal RNA", at positions 524 to 776 of the family's 1533-position model. The record is from RNAcentral.